CCAUUAAUUUGGUGUGUUUGGGAAGCAGGACUAUUACCUUGAAAAAAUUAGAGUGCUCAAAGCAGGCUAGUGCCUGAAUACAUUAGCAUGGAAUAAUAAAAUAGGACGGCAUGGUUCUAUUUUGUUGGUUUCUAGGAUCACCGUAAUGAUUAAUAGGGAUAGUUGGGGGCAUUAGUAUUCAAUUGUCAGAGGUGAAAUUCUUGGAUUUAUUGAAGACUAACUUCUGCGAAAGCAUUUGCCAAGGAUGUUUUCAUUAAUCAAGAACGAAAGUUAGGGGAUCGAAGACGAUCAGAUACCGUCGUAGUCUUAACCAUAAACUAUGCCGACUAGGGAUCGGACGAUGUUAGUUUUUUAAUGACUCGUUCGGCGCCUUACG
Molecule: ribosomal RNA, 376 nt
Filed under: uncultured Glomeromycotina
Lineage: Eukaryota; Fungi; Glomeromycota
Description: SSU rRNA
Rfam family: Eukaryotic small subunit ribosomal RNA
Source: RNAcentral